Molecule: unclassified non-coding RNA, 229 nt
Filed under: Hevea brasiliensis (rubber tree)
Lineage: Eukaryota; Viridiplantae; Streptophyta; Magnoliopsida; Malpighiales; Euphorbiaceae
Source: RNAcentral
UGCAUGAAUAAUUUGUUUGCUUGUAGUUCCUGUAGUUCACCACACUUUUGCAUAUAAUUAGUUGAAAACAGCAAGAAUGAUAAUUGUAUCUCAUGCUUCUUAUUAUUGAGCAUCAGUAGUUCCUGUGUGUUUAUGGUGAUUGCAUUUUUGAAUCUUCCCCAAGUUGCUUACUGCAUCGAAAAGUUGCGUGAUUGAGUUUUGUCUGAUAGGGAAAAUCAAUUGGAGUUUG